This is a non-coding RNA of Triticum aestivum (bread wheat), 115 nucleotides long. Lineage: Eukaryota; Viridiplantae; Streptophyta; Magnoliopsida; Poales; Poaceae. The record is from Rfam.
GUAGUACUCCCUCCGUUCGGAAUUACUUGUCUUGGAGAUGGAUGUAUCUAGAACUAAAAUACGUCUAGGUACAUCUAUUUCUGCGACAAGUAAUUCCGAACGGAGGGAGUAGCUC